RNAcentral lists this unclassified non-coding RNA (311 nucleotides) under Hevea brasiliensis (rubber tree). Lineage: Eukaryota; Viridiplantae; Streptophyta; Magnoliopsida; Malpighiales; Euphorbiaceae. The record is from RNAcentral.
GUGAGAUUCUUGGUGAAUACGUAUAAUAUUUGCUUUCUUGUGUGUAUAGAGUGUAAAUGAGUUGCAUGCAAGUGCUUUGCACUUUGCAGUACCCUAUAGAAUUUGGUGGAAUUCAUGCCUUGAUGAAAUUUUCACUCUUUGCAGUAGCUUUCACUUGAUAUUUAUAUCUGAAUUGAUACUACUACAUGUAUUUUUUAAGAUAAUUAAGCAAUUUAAAGCUGACUUUUGGAUGUUUUGAUCUUAAAAAAAAAAUAUCCCAAAAGCAUCUCUGCAGUGGUUUUGUUGCAUUUAAGUGGUGACAUUAACUACAA